UGGUUCCUACGGGAGGCAGCAGUGGGGAAUCUUGGACAAUGGGGGCAACCCUGAUCCAGCCAUGCCGCGUGUGUGAAGAAGGCCCUAGGGUUGUAAAGCACUUUCAGCAGGGAGGAAGGCUUCGGGCUAAUAUCCUGGAGUACUUGACGUUACCUGCAGAAGAAGCACCGGCUAAUUUCGUGCCAGCAGCCGCGGUAAUACGAAAGGUGCGAGCGUUAAUCGGAAUUACUGGGCGUAAAGCGCGCGUAGGCGGCUAUUUAAGUCGGAUGUGAAAUCCCCGGGCUCAACCUGGGAACUGCAUCCGAUACUGGAUGGCUAGAGUGCAGUAGAGGGGGGUGGAAUUCCAGGUGUAGCGGUGAAAUGCGUAGAGAUCUGGAGGAACACCAGUGGCGAAGGCGGCCCCCUGGACUGACACUGACGCUGAGGUGCGAAAGCGUGGGGAUCAAACAGGAUUAGAUACCCUAUAGUCCACCCCCGUGGACGACCCCGGAGGGCCGCUGGGGAGAACCCCCCUCCUAUGGGGCACCUCGGAAACAUAAAAAAAAACUCUAUUUUAUUUCCAUC
Molecule: ribosomal RNA, 564 nt
Filed under: uncultured Gammaproteobacteria bacterium
Lineage: Bacteria; Pseudomonadati; Pseudomonadota; Gammaproteobacteria
Description: partial 16S ribosomal RNA
Rfam family: Bacterial small subunit ribosomal RNA
Source: RNAcentral